AAUCGAACCCGGAGAUAGCUGGUUCUCCUCGAAAUAGCUUUAGGGCUAGCCUCGCAUUAGUUUACCGGAGGUAGAGCACUGAAUGGUCUAGGGGGCCUCACCGCCUACCGAAACCUAUCAAACUGCGAAUGCCGGAUAAAUGAUGUGCGGGAGUCAGGCCGCGAGAGAUAAGUUCCGCGGUCAAAAGGGGAACACCCCAGAUCGUCUGCUAAGGUCCCCAAGUACGCGUUAAGUGGGAAAGGAUGUUGGAUUGCACAGACAACCAGGAUGUUGGCUUAGAAGCAGCCACACAUUCAAAGAGUGCGUAAUAGCUCACUGGUCGAGUGAUCCAGCGCCGAAAAUGUAACGGGGCUAAAACGCGACACCGAAGCAGCGGGAUGCGUAAGCAUCGGUAGAGGAGCAUUGUGUGAGGGUUGAAGCCAGAGCGGGAGCACUGGUGGACUUCACAGAAGAGAGAAUGCCGGUAUGAGUAGCGAGACCCAUGCGAGAAACAUGGGCGUCGAAGGCCCAAGGUUUCCUGGGGAAGGUUCAUCCACCCAGGGUAAGUCGGGACCUAAGCCGAGGACUGAGGUCGUAGGCGAUGGACAGCAGGUAGAGAUUCCUGCACCACUUACACUUGUUUGACGAAGCAGUGACACAGAAGGAUAGGACGAGCGCGGUGAUGGUCAACCGCGUAGGCGGCACGAGGCCGGGAAGCAGUGAAGUACACUUCCCGCAAAGGCUGAGUGUUGACAGGACCGAAAAGAAGUAGGGAAGCGUCCGAGUUCACGCUGGCGAGAAAAGCUGCUAAGGAGAGUGUGAGUGCCCGUACCGGAAACCGACGCAGGUGGGCGAGGAGAGAAUCCUGAGACGGACGGGAGAACUCUUGUUAAGGAACUCGGCAAAAUGACCCCGUAACUUCGGGAGAAGGGGUGCCUCGAAAGAGGCCGCAGUGAAUAGGCCCAAGCGACUGUUUAGCAAAAACACAGGUCUGUGCCAAGUCGAGAGACGAUGUAUACAGGCUGACGCCUGCCCAGUGCCGGAAGGUCAAGGGGAAGUGUUAGGGCAACCGAAGCACGGAACUUAAGCCCCGGUGAACGGCGGCCGUAACUAUAACGGUCCUAAGGUAGCGAAAUUCCUUGUCGGGUAAGUUCCGACCCGCACGAAUGGCGUAACGACUUGUGAGCUGUCUCAACAGGAGGCCCGGUGAAAUUGAAGUAUGUGUGAAGAUGCACAUUACCCGCGACUGGACGGAAAGACCCCGUAGAGCUUUACUGUAACCUGACAUUGGAUCUUGAUAACGGAUGCACAGGAUAGGUGGGACGCUGGGAGACGAGGACUUUGGUUUUCGUGGAGCGGCCGUUGGGAUACCACUCUUCUGUUAUUGAGAUUCUAACCUCAAGCCGUGAGCCGGAUGAGAGACAGUGUCAGGCGGACAGUUUGACUGGGGCGGUCGCCUCCGAAAGAGUAACGGAGGCGCCCAAAGGUACCCUCAGAAUGGAUGGAAACCAUUCGAAGAGAGCAAAGUCAGAAGGGUGCUUGACUGCGAGACCAACAAGUCGAGCAGGUACGAAAGUAGGGCUUAGUGAUCCGGCGGUAAGAGAGUGGAAUUGCCGUCGCUCAACGGAUAAAAGCUACCUCGGGGAUAACAGGCUGAUCUCCCCCAAGAGUUCACAUCGACGGGGAGGUUUGGCACCUCGAUGUCGGCUCG
Molecule: ribosomal RNA, 1690 nt
Filed under: human metagenome
Description: bacterial LSU rRNA
Rfam family: Bacterial large subunit ribosomal RNA
Source: RNAcentral